CCCGGGGCUACAACCGUACGGUAAUUGCUAUUUAGAAACGUGGACAAACUAGAGUACUGUAGGAGGGGGUAGAAUUUCAGGUGUAGCGGUGAAAUGCGUAGAGAUCUGAAGGAAUACCGGUGGCGAAGGCGGCCCCCUGGACAGAUACUGACACUCAGAUGCGAAAGCGUGGGGAGCAAACAGGAUUAGAUACCCUGGUAG
This 201-nucleotide ribosomal RNA is filed under the name uncultured bacterium. RNAcentral describes it as "partial 16S ribosomal RNA". It matches the Rfam family "Bacterial small subunit ribosomal RNA", at positions 601 to 793 of the family's 1533-position model. The record is from RNAcentral.